RNAcentral lists this microRNA (21 nucleotides) under Chiloscyllium plagiosum (whitespotted bambooshark). RNAcentral's name for it is "microRNA PC-3p-45006_22". The record is from RNAcentral. Lineage: Eukaryota; Metazoa; Chordata; Chondrichthyes; Orectolobiformes; Hemiscylliidae.
AGCUCGCUGAACAAUGAAUGC